Molecule: long non-coding RNA, 1078 nt
Filed under: Canis lupus familiaris (dog)
Lineage: Eukaryota; Metazoa; Chordata; Mammalia; Carnivora; Canidae
Description: lncRNA (ENSCAFG00000058423.1)
Source: RNAcentral
AAAAACAAUGAAGAUGUAUUCUUGGAUUCUGAUUAGUUAUGGUUUCAUAUUGUUGACAGCUUUAUAAAAAUAAAAGAUACCUUUUCGGGACGCCUGGGUGGCUCAGAAGUUGAGUGUCUGCCUUUGGCUCAGGUCAUGACCCCAGGUCCUGGGAUCAAGUCCCAUGUUGGGCUCCCCGCAGAGGGUCUGCUUCUCCCUCUGCCUGUGUCUCUGCCUCUUUCUGUGUGUCUCUCAUGAAUAAAUAAAUAAAAUCUUUUUUUUUAAAGAUAUCUUUUAACAGUCUUUCUUUUGCAAAUAAAAAUACAAUAUAUUGUUGCUUGGCUAAUCUUGUAGGUUCUUACGGGCUGACAUGUUCCAAGAGUCCAACAACUCUGAUCUGUGCUUCCUUUAAAUUCUUUGAGAUAGACACGCAAAUUCUCAGGGAUGCACCAUUGAAAGAGAUUUCAAAGACUAAACACAAACAGUUCUCUGUCCCUCUCGUCUACUGUUUAUUACUUCAGACAAUUAAAUCUCUUGUGAUUGUCUUAGUUACCUUGCUUCAGCACUCCUGUUUUAUGUGUGGACGAAAAUUUGUAAGAUUAGUUUCUUUGUGCAUAGAUACAUCUUGAUUUUUGCGUGAGAGAACAUAUUUGUUUGUUAUUCCCCAUGUGCAUUCUUAAUUCUUCCUAAAAUUCGGCUGACCGUUUGGAACUAUUGAUACAUACUAGAUUGGAUUUUCAAGAAACUCUUCUUUCAGCACUUGAUUACAUGCAAAUAAUUGGUACUGUAAGAGAUUUCAUAGUUGAUCCUGUGUUCGAGAUAAUUUAUAAAAAUGCAGGUAUGGAAAUGUUUACCUUUGCUUAUAUUUUCUAUGAGUCAGUUCUUUAUUCAUGGCCAUUCUUUACUAGAAUCCUAUCAUUAAAAAAAAAAGUUCUUAAAGGGGAUUCCAUCAGACUUUUGAUAUAAAAAUUAACUCCUUUGAUUAAAUUUACCUAGACAGUCAUGAUGUAUGACUUUUAAACAAUAAAUUAUACUCAUAUAUCCAAAAGUUAAUAUUUAUUCUUGUUAGACAGAGAUGAAAUCCUAACAUAUCCUAUGU